This 73-nucleotide transfer RNA is filed under the name Camelus dromedarius (Arabian camel). It matches the Rfam family "tRNA". Rfam says of the family: Transfer RNA (tRNA) molecules are approximately 80 nucleotides in length. Their secondary structure includes four short double-helical elements and three loops (D, anti-codon, and T loops). Further hydrogen bonds mediate the characteristic L-shaped molecular structure. tRNAs have two regions of fundamental functional importance: the anti-codon, which is responsible for specific mRNA codon recognition, and the 3' end, to which the tRNAs corresponding amino acid is attached (by aminoacyl-tRNA synthetases). tRNAs cope with the degeneracy of the genetic code in two manners: having more than one tRNA (with a specific anti-codon) for a particular amino acid; and 'wobble' base-pairing, i.e. permitting non-standard base-pairing at the 3rd anti-codon position. Lineage: Eukaryota; Metazoa; Chordata; Mammalia; Artiodactyla; Camelidae. RNAcentral also lists the same sequence under 1 other name. The record is from Rfam by way of RNAcentral.
GAGGGUAUAGCUCAAUUGGUAGAGUGCUUGCUUAGCAUGCAUGAGGUCCUGGGUUCAAUGCCCAGUAUCACCG